GAUGAACGCUGGCGGCGUGCCUAAUACAUGCAAGUCGAACGCUGAAGGAGGAUCUUGCUCUUCUGGAUGAGUUGCGAACGGGUGAGUAACGCGUAGGUAACCUGCCUGGUAGCGGGGGAUAACUAUUGGAAACGAUAGCUAAUACCGCAUGACAACAGUUAUUGCAUGAUAACUGUUUAAAAGGGGCAACUGCUCCACUACCAGCUGUACCUGCGUUGUAUUAGCUAGUUGGUGAGGUAACGGCUCACCAAGGCGACGAUACAUAGCCGACCUGGGAGGGUGAUCGGCCAAACUGGGAACGGGACAAGGCCCAGAACUCUAAGGGAGGGAACAGGAGGGAAACUUCGGAAAUGGACGGAAGGCUGAACGAGGAAAGCCGGGGGAGUGAAGAAGGGUUUCGGAUCGGAAAGAUCGGUUGUAAGAGAAGAAAGGGGGGGAGAGUGGAAAGUUCACACUGUGACGGUAUCUUACCAGAAAGGGACGGCUAACUACGUG
This 495-nucleotide ribosomal RNA is filed under the name uncultured bacterium. Its description in RNAcentral is "partial 16S ribosomal RNA". It matches the Rfam family "Bacterial small subunit ribosomal RNA", at positions 28 to 507 of the family's 1533-position model. The record is from RNAcentral.